GAUCAUGGCUCAGGAUGAACGCUAGCAGCAGGCCUAAUACAUGCAAGUCGGACGGGAUCCAUCGGAGAGCUUGCUCGAAGAUGGUGAGAGUGGCGCACGGGUGCGUAACGCGUGAGCAACCUACCUCUAUCAGGGGGAUAGCCUCUCGAAAGAGAGAUUAACACCGCAUAACAUCAACAGUUCGCAUGUUCGGUUGAUUAAAUAUUUAUAGGAUAGAGAUGGG
RNAcentral lists this ribosomal RNA (223 nucleotides) under uncultured bacterium. RNAcentral describes it as "partial 16S ribosomal RNA". It matches the Rfam family "Bacterial small subunit ribosomal RNA", at positions 15 to 229 of the family's 1533-position model. The record is from RNAcentral.